AGUGAGCGCUGGCGGUAGGCCUAACACAUGCAAGUCGAACGGCAGCACAGGAGAGCUUGUUCUCUGGGUGGCGAGUGGCGGACGGGUGAGGAAUACAUCGGAAUCUACUCUGUCGUGGGGGAUAACGUAGGGAAACUUACGCUAAUACCGCAUACGACCUACGGGUGAAAGCAGGGGACCUUCGGGCCUUGCGCGAUUGAAUGAGCCGAUGUCGGAUUAGCUAGUUGGCGGGGUAACGACCCACCAAGGCGACGAUCCGUAGCUGGUCUGAGAGGAUGAUCAGCCACACUGGAACUGAGACACGGUCCAGAUUCCUACGGGAAGCAGCAGUGGGGAAUAUUGGACAAUGGGCGCAAGCCUGAUCCAGCCAUACCGCGUGGGUGAAGAAGGCCUUCGGGUUGUAAAGCCCUUUUGUUGGGAAAGAAAUCCAGCUGGCUAAUACCCGGUUGGGAUGACGGUACCCAAAGAAUAAGCACCGGCUAACUUCGUGCCAGCCGCCGCCGUAA
Molecule: ribosomal RNA, 506 nt
Filed under: uncultured bacterium
Lineage: Bacteria
Description: partial 16S ribosomal RNA
Rfam family: Bacterial small subunit ribosomal RNA
Source: RNAcentral